UGGAACAUUGGUUCUCGUACGAUUACCAAAGUUAAGCAACGUUGAUCCUGAUAAUUACCUAGAUGGGUGACCGCUGGGGAAUACCAGGUGCUGUAA
Non-coding RNA from Acanthosepion pharaonis, 96 nucleotides. Lineage: Eukaryota; Metazoa; Mollusca; Cephalopoda; Sepiida; Sepiidae. The record is from the annotation of a GenBank genome assembly.